GACGAACGCUGGCGGCGCGCCUAACACAUGCAAGUCGAACGGUGAAGAGGAGCUUGCUCCUCGGAACAGUGGCGGACGGGUGAGUAACACGUGAGAAACCUGGCUCUAAGAGGGGGACAACAGGUGGAAAGGACUGCUAAUACCGCAUGAGGUAUCGGGGCGGCGUCUGCCUGAGACCAAAGAUUUGAUCGCUUAGAGAUGGGCUCGCGACUGUUUAGGUAGUGGGCGGGGGAACCGCCCACCAAGUCGAGGAUCAGUAGCCGGACUGGGAGGUUGAACGGCGGCCUUGGGAAUGGCCCACGGCCCCGCCUCCGGCGGCAGGGAGGAAUGGGGGAUAUUGGGCACUGGGCGGAACCCUGAUCCCCCGGCGCCGCGUGACGGACGAAGGUUUUCGGAUUGUAAUCCUCUGUUACCGGAGAAAUAAUUGCUGGUAUUCGUUUAGAAGGCCACGCCUACCUCCGU
RNAcentral lists this ribosomal RNA (462 nucleotides) under uncultured bacterium. RNAcentral's name for it is "partial 16S ribosomal RNA". It matches the Rfam family "Bacterial small subunit ribosomal RNA", at positions 28 to 506 of the family's 1533-position model. The record is from RNAcentral.